GAUGAACGCUGGCGGCGUGCCUAAUACAUGCAAGUCGAGCGAACAGAUAAGGAGCUUGCUCCUUUGACGUUAGCGGCGGACGGGUGAGUAACACGUGGGUAACCUACCUAUAAGACUGGGAUAACUUCGGGAAACCGGAGCUAAUACCGGAUAAUAUUUCGAACCGCAUGGUUCGAUAGUGAAAGAUGGUUUUACUAUCACUUAUAGAUGGACCCGCGCCGUAUUAGCUAGUUGGUAAGGUAACGGCUUACCAAGGCGACGAUACGUAGCCGACCUGAGAGGGUGAUCGGCCACACUGGAACUGAGACACGGUCCAGACUCCUACGGGAGGCAGCAGUAGGGAAUCUUCCGCAAUGGGCGAAAGCCUGACGGAGCAACGCCGCGUGAGUGAUGAAGGUCUUCGGAUCGUAAAACUCUGUUAUUAGGGAAGAACAUACGUGUAAGUAACUGUGCACGUCUUGACGGUACCUAAUCAGAAAGCCACGGCUAACUACGUG
This 497-nucleotide ribosomal RNA is filed under the name uncultured bacterium. RNAcentral's name for it is "partial 16S ribosomal RNA". It matches the Rfam family "Bacterial small subunit ribosomal RNA", at positions 28 to 507 of the family's 1533-position model. The record is from RNAcentral.